This 850-nucleotide ribosomal RNA is filed under the name uncultured organism. Its description in RNAcentral is "bacterial SSU rRNA". It matches the Rfam family "Bacterial small subunit ribosomal RNA", at positions 66 to 913 of the family's 1533-position model. The record is from RNAcentral.
ACGGUAGCAGGCCUUCGGGCGCUGACGAGUGGCGGACGGGUGAGUAACGCGUAGGAAUCUGCCUGUUAGUGGGGGACAACGUGGGGAAACCCACGCUAAUACCGCAUACGCCCUACGGGGGAAAGGAGGGGAUCUUCGGACCUUUCGCUAACAGAUGAGCCUGCGUUAGAUUAGCUAGUUGGUAGGGUAAAGGCCUACCAAGGCGACGAUCUAUAGCUGGUCUGAGAGGACGAUCAGCCACACUGGGACUGAGACACGGCCCAGACUCCUACGGGAGGCAGCAGUGGGGAAUAUUGGACAAUGGGCGAAAGCCUGAUCCAGCAAUACCGCGUGUGUGAAGAAGGCCUUAGGGUUGUAAAGCACUUUCAAUUGGGAGGAAAACCUGCCGGUCAAUACCCGGUAGCUUGACAUUACCUUUAGAAGAAGCACCGGCUAACUCCGUGCCAGCAGCCGCGGUAAUACGGAGGGUGCGAGCGUUAAUCGGAAUUACUGGGCGUAAAGCGUGCGUAGGCGGUUCGUUAAGUCAGAUGUGAAAGCCCUGGGCUCAACCUGGGAACUGCAUUUGAAACUGGCGGACUAGAGUUUAGUAGAGGGGAGUGGAAUUUCAGGUGUAGCGGUGAAAUGCGUAGAUAUCUGAAGGAACACCAGUGGCGAAGGCGACUCCCUGGACUAGAACUGACGCUGAGGUACGAAAGCGUGGGUAGCAAACAGGAUUAGAUACCCUGGUAGUCCACGCCGUAAACGAUGUCGACUAGCCGUUGGGCCUAUUUACAGGUUUAGUGGCGCAGCUAACGCAUUAAGUCGACCGCCUGGGGAGUACGGCCGCAAGGUUAAAACUCAAAUGAAUUGA